Molecule: ribosomal RNA, 253 nt
Filed under: uncultured bacterium
Lineage: Bacteria
Description: partial 16S ribosomal RNA
Rfam family: Bacterial small subunit ribosomal RNA
Source: RNAcentral
GCAAGUCGAACGGUAACAGGUCCUUCGGGGCGCUGACGAGUGGCGGACGGGUGAGUAACACGUAGGUGAUCUACCUAAAAGUUGGGGACAACCUGUGGAAACAUAGGCUAAUACCGAAUACCAUCAUUCAUCGUGUUGAAUGAAGAAAGAUGCUUUACAGCAUCGCUUUUAGAUGAGCCUGCGGCUGAUUAGCUUGUUGGCGGGGUAAUGGCCCACCAAGGCGACGAUCAGUAGCCGGCCUGAGAGGGUGAGC